Molecule: transfer RNA, 63 nt
Filed under: Dipodomys ordii (Ord's kangaroo rat)
Lineage: Eukaryota; Metazoa; Chordata; Mammalia; Rodentia; Heteromyidae
Rfam family: tRNA
About the family: Transfer RNA (tRNA) molecules are approximately 80 nucleotides in length. Their secondary structure includes four short double-helical elements and three loops (D, anti-codon, and T loops).
Source: Rfam by way of RNAcentral
GGUGGCUCAGUGGUAGAGUGCUUGCCUCGCAUACAAGAGGCCCUGGGUUUGAUCUCAGCACCA